CCGCGGCCCGCGCUGUAACCGCGGCUGCCGCUGCUGCUCCGGGCGGGCGUUGGUGCCGUGUGCCGAGGCGCCCUGUCAGGCGAUGGGGAGCGGCUGGGCGGGGAGAGCCGACGGCCGCGGCGGCGCCUGAGGAACGCAGCCGGGCUCGGGAGCGGCGAGGGCGGGCCGGUCCAGCGGCGGAGGAGCGAGGCGGGGCGAGGCAGGCGGCGCGGGGACCCACACCAGGCGCCUUGUGUGCGAGGCCGAGCGGCGGCCGCGGACAGAGAGCCGGCGACCCCCGGCAGGAGGAGAAGGAGCCGGAGGACGCGCCGAGGGACUGCGGGGCCGGGGCGGGCGAGCAGCG
Molecule: long non-coding RNA, 343 nt
Filed under: Homo sapiens (human)
Lineage: Eukaryota; Metazoa; Chordata; Mammalia; Primates; Hominidae
Description: LHRI_LNC1226.1
Source: RNAcentral